AUUGAACGCUGGCGGCAGGCCUAACACAUGCAAGUCGAACGAGUGGCGGACGGGUGAGCAAUGUCUGGGCAACUGCCCGAUGGAGGGGGAUAACUACUGUAAACGGUAGCUAAUACCGCUUACCAUACGAUGUGCCCACAUGGGAUUAGCGUGUAGUUGAGGUAACGGCUCACCUAGGAGACGCUCUCUAGCUGGGCUGAGAGGAUGACCAGCAAAACGGGAACUGAGAAAGGGUCCAGACUCCUACGGGAGGCAGAAGUGGGUAAUAUUGCACAAUGGGCGCAAGCCUGAUGCAGCCAUGCCGCGUGUAUGAAGAAGGCCUGCGGGUUGUAAAGUACGUUCAGCGGGGAGGCGUUACCCGCAGAAGAAGCACCGGCUAACUCCGUGCCAGCAGCCGCGGUAAUUC
This 406-nucleotide ribosomal RNA is filed under the name uncultured bacterium. RNAcentral's name for it is "partial 16S ribosomal RNA". It matches the Rfam family "Bacterial small subunit ribosomal RNA", at positions 30 to 526 of the family's 1533-position model. The record is from RNAcentral.